GUGAAUCAUCGAAUUUUUGAACGCAAAUUGCACUCUCUGAUAUUCCGGGGAGUAUGCCUGUUUGAGGGUCAGUUUAAAUCAAAAUCGGUGUGGUUGCUGCCUUGCGUGGUGACGUACUGGCUUUGGGUCGUCUUGCCUUCGGAUAAGUAGCCUAAAAUUUUGUAUGAUUUUUUAGAACGUAUUUAAAUGACUUUACGUACGUUUGCGGUAUCGAAUACUAGGUGUGGUCUUUCUCAU
This 237-nucleotide unclassified non-coding RNA is filed under the name Glomeraceae sp. RNAcentral describes it as "partial contains 5.8S ribosomal RNA and internal transcribed spacer 2". The stretch from base 1 to 71 matches the Rfam family "5.8S ribosomal RNA", at positions 84 to 154 of the family's 154-position model. Lineage: Eukaryota; Fungi; Glomeromycota; Glomeromycetes; Glomerales; Glomeraceae. The record is from RNAcentral.